This 301-nucleotide ribosomal RNA is filed under the name uncultured bacterium. Its description in RNAcentral is "partial 16S ribosomal RNA". It matches the Rfam family "Bacterial small subunit ribosomal RNA", at positions 509 to 809 of the family's 1533-position model. The record is from RNAcentral.
CAGCAGCCGCGGGAACACGUAGGUGGCAAGCGUUGUCCGGAAUUAUUGGGCGUAAAGGGCUCGCAGGCGGUUUCUUAAGUCUGAUGUGAAAGCCCCCGGCUCAACCGGGGAGGGUCAUUGGAAACUGGGAAACUUGAGUGCAGAAGAGGAGAGUGGAAUUCCACGUGUAGCGGUGAAAUGCGUAGAGAUGUGGAGGGACACCAGUGGCGAAGGCGACUCUCUGGUCUGUAACUGACGCUGAGGAGCGAAAGCGUGGGGAGCGAACAGGAUUAGAUACCCCCGUAGUCCCUGUCUCUUAUAU